Molecule: ribosomal RNA, 253 nt
Filed under: uncultured bacterium
Lineage: Bacteria
Description: partial 16S ribosomal RNA
Rfam family: Bacterial small subunit ribosomal RNA
Source: RNAcentral
AACGUAGGAUCCGAGCGUUAUCCGAAUUCACUGGGCGUAAAGCGCGUGCAGGCGGCCGAGUAAGUUGGAUGUGAAAUCUCCCGGCUCAACUGGGAGCCGACGUUCAAGACUGCCCGGCUCGAGGACGGUAGAGGGAGGUGGAAUUCCCGGUGUAGUGGUGAAAUGCGUAGAUAUCGGGAGGAACACCAGUGGCGAAGGCGGCCUCCUGGGCCGUUCCUGACGCUCAGACGCGAAAGCUAGGGGAGCGAACGGG